GCCGAGAUAGCUCAGCUGGCAGAGCAUGUCAUUGGUAAUGACAAGGCCACGGGUUCGAAUCCCGUUCUCGGCU
RNAcentral lists this transfer RNA (73 nucleotides) under Candidatus Berkelbacteria bacterium. RNAcentral's name for it is "tRNA-Thr". It matches the Rfam family "tRNA". From Rfam's summary of the family: Transfer RNA (tRNA) molecules are approximately 80 nucleotides in length. Lineage: Bacteria; Candidatus Berkelbacteria. The record is from RNAcentral.